RNAcentral lists this transfer RNA (71 nucleotides) under Candidatus Iainarchaeum sp. RNAcentral describes it as "tRNA-Ala". It matches the Rfam family "tRNA". Rfam says of the family: Transfer RNA (tRNA) molecules are approximately 80 nucleotides in length. Their secondary structure includes four short double-helical elements and three loops (D, anti-codon, and T loops). Lineage: Archaea; Nanobdellati; Candidatus Iainarchaeota; Candidatus Iainarchaeia; Candidatus Iainarchaeales; Candidatus Iainarchaeaceae. The record is from RNAcentral.
GGGCCUAUAGUCUAACGGUAGGAUACGACCUUCGCAUGGUUGAGAUCCGGGUCCGAUUCCCGGUGGGUCCA